GUUGGCCCGCCUGGAGGUCCCUUUGGACAGCCCUGUGGGCCACCCCCCCUCUGCGUGACCCAGCUGUGAGAGCUCCUGCCCAUGGGCCCCUUCCCCCCUCCCCUGUUGUGUCAUUCUGUCAAGCAAAGCUUCCUCACCAACAGGAAGGAAUAGGAGGAAUCGCCACACCAGAUGCAGUUUGGGUUCUGCUUUUCCCACAAGGGCUGUGAGCCCCACACCACAUUCAACUGGCGUGGACUGUGAUGUUCCCGGCAUGGUGACAUCCCUGCAGAGAAAUCCACUGAAGUUCACUGAAGUGCAGAACUGCAGCAGCUCAGGAAGGGUGGGAGCAAGGAGAUCUCUGCCCAAAGUCUUGGCAGGGUCUGAUGAACAAAGGGGACAGAGGAAAGCAGUGCUGCCUGCCUCUGUUCUCACCAGUUCAGGCUCCUUCCUGGGCCACAAAGCUUAGUUUGGCCACAUUUACUACUUUCCUCUAUGUGUGGGGAAACUCUGGACCCAAAUUUAUCUAGCUGAUCCAAGCAGGGUCUGUCUGCAACCUGCAUCAGAACAGGUGGAGACCAGCCAGGUGUCUGUGGAGGAGCACUGUUCCUGUUCCCUGGAACAGUCCCUGUUCCCUGGCCGCUCCAUGGCCAGCCAGAACAGGCAAGUAUGGCAAAUGUCUGAGCACUCAUGAUCAUUUUAACCAUGGACACUAACAUCAGAUAGAGAAGCUGGACACCUGGACAGCGAAAAAGGAGAAAUGUCACAAAUUGGCAAAGACACAUCCCUGAACUACCAAAAGCCAUGUGCUCUCAGUGGGAACAGCAAAGCAAAGGAGUCCAGCAGGAUCUAGCAAGACCUACUUCAGAGGAGAAGGAAGUGGUUCUCAGGGCAGGUGUGAUAAGAGUCUACACCUGCAAUGAGACCACUUCUGAGAUUUCCAGGUUAAAAAAUCCAAACUGAAAACUGUAUUUUCAACCUUUUUUUUUUCUCCCUGUUGCAGUACUUUUAACAAGCCACUCUGCUUCCACAGAUUCCCAUCACACAGUCCACAGGCUCUGUCAGAAAAGCACUAGCACCUACUGCUGUACAGUGAUGGGGACACUCUGCUUUAAACUAUCCUUUGUGCUCUCUGGGUCCUGCGAUGCUCGUGGCACUGGGCUGAGACUGAUGUCAAAGAAGCAGUCAGAUUUGUGUAGCAACAGCAGUUCCCGCAGCUGGAGGAGGAGGAAGACAGAAGGGAAAAGCACUUGGGCCAUGUUGUGUCUUCCUCCGAAGCCCAAAAGCACCUGGCGCUAUGUGGACACCUUGGCCAGAGCAGUUAGUCUUUCAAUCACAAAACCUGAUGGGCAGCAACCCUCUGUGGCUCUGUGACCUCUGAGCAGAAUUUCAAGGAUUAUCCCAGGAAACCUACCUGAACCAGGGGGAAUUUAUGCACCCACAAUGAAACACUGUAAUAUUUGACAUUAAGAAUUCCAGCAUACAUAGA
This is a long non-coding RNA of Vidua macroura (Pin-tailed whydah), 1468 nucleotides long. RefSeq lists it as uncharacterized. Lineage: Eukaryota; Metazoa; Chordata; Aves; Passeriformes; Viduidae. The record is from RefSeq and is a predicted model, not a curated record. The transcript is spliced from 2 exons.